AACUGCGAGUGAAGCGGGAAAAGCUCAAAUUUAAAAUCUGGUGGUCUUUGGCCAUCCGAGUUGUAAUUUAGAGAAGCGUCUUCCGCGUCGGACCGUGCACAAGUCUCCUGGAAUGGAGCGUCAUAGAGGGUGAGAAUCCCGUCUUUGGCACGGAUGCCCGGUGCUUCUGUGAUGCGCUCUCGAAGAGUCGAGUUGUUUGGGAAUGCAGCUCAAAAUGGGUGGUGAACUCCAUCUAAAGCUAAAUAUUGGCGAGAGACCGAUAGCGAACAAGUACCGUGAGGGAAAGAUGAAAAGCACUUUGGAAAGAGAGUGAAACAGUACGUGAAAUUGUUGAAAGGGAAACGCUUGAAGUCAGUCGCGUUGACCGAGACUCAGCCUUGCCUUGGCUUGGUGUACUUCUCGGCUCGACGGGUCAGCGUCAAUUUUGCUCCUCGGAUAAUGGCAAGGGAAAGGUGGCACCUUUACGGGUGUGUUAUAGUCUCCUGUCGCAUGCGAGGGGGGGGAUUGAGGAACUCAGCGCGCACCUCGGUGUCGGGGCUUCU
Molecule: ribosomal RNA, 542 nt
Filed under: Lactarius floridus
Lineage: Eukaryota; Fungi; Basidiomycota; Agaricomycetes; Russulales; Russulaceae
Description: LSU rRNA
Rfam family: Eukaryotic large subunit ribosomal RNA
Source: RNAcentral